AGACAGAUUUAGAAAAGACGACGCGACCUCAAAGACGACGUGAAAAUGGCGUGUUCUGUCCAUAUAUGGAUGUACCACGCCACUUUGACGCCAUUUUCACGUCGUCUUUGAGGUCGCGUCGUCUUUUCUAAAUCUGUCU
Non-coding RNA from Paramuricea clavata, 139 nucleotides. NCBI's taxonomy places the organism in Eukaryota, Metazoa, Cnidaria, Anthozoa, Malacalcyonacea, Plexauridae. The record is from the annotation of a GenBank genome assembly.